GUGCGGCGCAGACCUACUCACCAUUCCCCGAUAUGUGGUUGUCCCAAGGAGCUUGUCCCCCGGGCCUCGUGGCGCCGCUGAGUUGGAGCACUACUGGGCCUGAAGUCAGCAGCUGAGUGAGUCGAUGGGAAAGGAGACAAUUCUCUGUCCUCAUCUGGAUGACUUCAGCUCCUCCAGCUCAGAGGAACCCGUUCCAGGCAGCUGCUCCCCUGAUUCAGAUGGAAGCCCCUGGAUCAAGCUCUGCAAACAAAUCGAGACAUGUGCAUGUUUCCCCCCUAUUGUAGCAGCAAGAAACGUAAUGAAAAUUUCUGUCAGAGGCAAUUAGUUACAUUCGAGAGGCGGGACAUCUCUGACUUCAGCAAAUGCGUAAUGGAAACAUACUCUGGAGAGGAGGCAUCAACUUCCUGGGACAUGAGGCAUCAAAGAACCAUAAAUCCAGAGCUAAAAGGGACUUCAGAAGCUAUUUGAUCCAGUCUCCUCAAUUUACAGAUGAAGAAACUGAGGCUCUGAGA
Molecule: non-coding RNA, 512 nt
Organism: Phascolarctos cinereus (koala)
Lineage: Eukaryota; Metazoa; Chordata; Mammalia; Diprotodontia; Phascolarctidae
Source: RefSeq, a predicted model, not a curated record